CACAUCUCAGGGUCACACCUAGAGAGUUUCCAGUACUCUACCAGUCUCGACUAUGGGAGGGGGAGUCAAGCAGAGGCCUAUCCAUUCCAUUCCUAGCUUGGUCAGUGGCUAGCGAGUAGAAAGCAAUCUGCUACAAGU
This is a non-coding RNA of Ornithorhynchus anatinus (platypus), 138 nucleotides long. NCBI's taxonomy places the organism in Eukaryota, Metazoa, Chordata, Mammalia, Monotremata, Ornithorhynchidae. The record is from Rfam.